CACCCACCCACACACAUGAAGGUGCCUCUCUGUGGAGCUGCCUCCCAAGUGAUGGAGAUGAGAGAAUAAUCAGUAGAAGCUCUCAGGACAACAUACCAGGAAUCUGUUCAAGGGCAAGAUGGGGAAGUUCUAGAGAAGACUGAAGAUGUGGCCUAUGACAUCAACACAUGCACUACACAGAUUGAAGCCACUCAAGCAAAAAGAGGCAUUUUAACUGAGCUGUUAGGUGGGGGGUGGGGGAGGAUCUCACUCCGCUGGAUAGGAACAAGCAGCAGAUUCACCAGGAGCAGAUUCACCAGAAGACUCAAGCCUCCUUCAAGUCUGCUCUGGUAGUGGGUCACCUGAAGCAUCACUUAAAAGUUGAAAGCGUCUGUGGAAAUAGCUCAUUCUCCCCGAGUGACAUUUCGGGGUUUUGUUGUUGUUGUUGUUGCUGUUGUUUUGUUUUUUCGAGACAAGGUUUCUCUGUGGCUUUGAAGGCUGUCCUGGAACUAGCUCUUGUAGACCAGGCUGGCCUUGAACUCACAGAGAUCCACCUGCCUCUGCCUCCCAAGUGCUGGGAUUAAAGGUGUGCGCCACCACCGCCUGACCAACAUUUCGAUUUUGUGAAACUGAAAUUUGCCUGUCUCUACAGAGCACUAGUUAGUUACGUUCAGGAAGCUUGGGCAAGAGCUGAGACCCGUGAAGCCAUCCAUCCCCGUGGGUGUAGCCUCAGUUAGUGGAGCUCUUGCCUAGCAUUCACACAGCCCCGGUUUCAACCUCAGUACCACGGAAAUCAGAGGCGGGCACAUGCCUGCAAUCCUAGCAGCUAGGAGGAGGCUGCAGGAGGCUCUGAAAUUCAGGGUCAACUUCAGAUACAUAGUGAGUUUCAGACCAGUUUAGGAUUUAAAAAGGCCAGCAAAAUCUUCCAAAUCUUCCAAAUCUUCCUGUAGAACCUUCCAGAGAAACUGGAGUCCCUAGACUAUUUCUAGCAGUAGCAUUCUCUUUAAGAUUCUAGGUAAACAAAAGCAUUUGCAUCCUCUUGUCCAAGAGAAUUUUCUGGGAAGAAUGAUCACUUCUAACUUCAAUGGAAAUUUCCACUGGGACCGUUCUGUUUCUGCACGUCUUUACACGGUGCUACAUUAGAACUGCAGGGCAGAAUUCCCAAGGUGUCAAUAGUUAGGUUACAGAGUUCACCGUAGCAGAUAAAAGGAGGCAAACAAGUUUAUCUGGAGACAUCAAAUUUUCCUGCAAAGUGGAC
RNAcentral lists this long non-coding RNA (1237 nucleotides) under Cricetulus griseus (Chinese hamster). Its description in RNAcentral is "lncRNA (ENSCGRG00015035915.1)". Lineage: Eukaryota; Metazoa; Chordata; Mammalia; Rodentia; Cricetidae. The record is from RNAcentral.